AGAGUUUGAUCCUGGCUCAGGACGAACGCUGGCGGCGUGCCUAAUACAUGCAAGUCGAGCGAAUUGAUUAAGAAGCUUGCUUCUUAAGAUUUUAGCGGCGGACGGGUGAGUAACACGUGGGCAACCUGCCCUAUAGUUGGGGAUAACUCCGGGAAACCGGGGCUAAUACCGAAUGAUACAAUUAAGCUCCUGCUUGAUUGUUGAAAGAUGGUUUACGCUAUCGCUAUAGGAUGGGCCCGCGGCGCAUUAGCUAGUUGGUGAGGUAACGGCUCACCAAGGCGACGAUGCGUAGCCGACCUGAGAGGGUGAUCGGCCACACUGGGACUGAGACACGGCCCAGACUCCUACGGGAGGCAGCAGUAGGGAAUCUUCCACAAUGGGCGAAAGCCUGAUGGAGCAACGCCGCGUGAGUGAAGAAGGUUUUCGGAUCGUAAAACUCUGUUGUAAGGGAAGAACAAGUACAGUAGUAACUGGCUGUACCUUGACGGUACCUUAUUAGAAAGCCACGGCUAACUACGUGCCAGCAGCCGCGGUAAUACGUAGGUGGCAAGCGUUGUCCGGAUUUAUUGGGCGUAAAGCGCGCGCAGGUGGUUUCUUAAGUCUGAUGUGAAAGCCCACGGCUCUACCGUGGAGGGUCAUUGGAAACUGGGAGACUUGAGUGCAGAAGAGGAAAGUGGAAUUCCAAGUGUAGCGGUGAAAUGCGUAGAGAUUUGGAGGAACACCAGUGGCGAAGGCGACUUUCUGGUCUGUAACUGACACUGAGGCGCGAAAGCGUGGGGAGCAAACAGGAUUAGAUACCCUGGUAGUCCACGCCGUAAACGAUGAGUGCUAAGUGUUAGAGGGUUUCCGCCCUUUAGUGCUGCAGCAAACGCAUUAAGCACUCCGCCUGGGGAGUACGGCCGCAAGGCUGAAACUCAAAGGAAUUGACGGGGGCCCGCACAAGCGGUGGAGCAUGUGGUUUAAUUCGAUGAUACGCGAGGAACCUUACCCGGGCUCAAACGACAGGGGACGACAUCUGAAAGGGUGUUUCCGGCAACGGCCGCUGUCGAGGUGCUGCAUGGUUGUCGUCAGCUCGUGCCGUGAGGUGUCGGCUUAAGUGCCAUAACGAGCGCAACCCCCAUCUUCAGUUGCCAUCGGGUGAAGCCGGGCACUCUGGAGAGACUGCCAGCGCAAGCUGUGAGGAAGGCGGGGAUGACGUCAAAUCAGCACGGCCCUUACGUCCGGGGCGACACACGUGUUACAAUGGCGGAGAACAGAGGGAAGCCAGGUGGCGACACCGAGCCGAUCCCGAAAAUCCGUCUCAGUUCGGAUCGGAGUCUGCAACCCGACUCCGUGAAGCUGGAUUCGCUAGUAAUCGCGCAUCAGCCAUGGCGCGGUGAAUACGUUCCCGGGCCUUGCACACACCGCCCGUCA
RNAcentral lists this ribosomal RNA (1413 nucleotides) under uncultured bacterium. Its description in RNAcentral is "partial 16S ribosomal RNA". It matches the Rfam family "Bacterial small subunit ribosomal RNA". The record is from RNAcentral.